RNAcentral lists this ribosomal RNA (464 nucleotides) under uncultured bacterium. RNAcentral's name for it is "partial 16S ribosomal RNA". It matches the Rfam family "Bacterial small subunit ribosomal RNA", at positions 29 to 507 of the family's 1533-position model. The record is from RNAcentral.
ACGAACGCUGGCGGCGUGCUUAACACAUGCAAGUCGAACGGAAAGGCCCCCUUGUGGGGUACUCGAGUGGCGAACGGGUGAGUAACACGUGAGUAACCUACCCUUGACUUUGGGAUAACUUCAGGAAACUGGGGCUAAUACCGGAUAGGAGCUCCUGCUGCAUGGUGGGGGUUGGAAAGUUUCGGCGGUUGGGGAUGGACUCGCGGCUUAUCAGCUUGUUGGUGGGGUAGUGGCUCACCAAGGCUUUGACGGGUAGCCGGCCUGAGAGGGUGACCGGCCACAUUGGGACUGAGAUACGGCCCAGACUCCUACGGGAGGCAGCAGUGGGGAAUAUUGCACAAUGGGCGGAAGCCUGAUGCAGCAACGCCGCGUGCGGGAUGACGGCCUUCGGGUUGUAAACCGCUUUCGCCUGUGGCGAAGCGUGAGUGACGGUAAUGGGUAAAGAAGCACCGGCUAACUACGUG